This 507-nucleotide long non-coding RNA is filed under the name Prunus persica (peach). Its description in RNAcentral is "long non-coding RNA (PPER_LNC000715)". Lineage: Eukaryota; Viridiplantae; Streptophyta; Magnoliopsida; Rosales; Rosaceae. The record is from RNAcentral.
UUCGCAUCCCCCUCCCUGACCUGUGCCGUUAUAAUGCGGGGGGAAAAGGCCGCAGAAUUUUCCCGUAGUUCUGAUAGCUUGUUGGCUCCAAAGAUCUCUAGUAAAACUGCCUUGUGGCGGCACCAUAAACUCAAGCUCUCCAAACAGCUUCACCCCUAAUCUCGCCGCCCCAUAACAACCGUCGCUGCCACCUCCCAUUAGUAAUUCAUUUGCCAUGUCCUCGCCCACAUAUGACCUAACCAUUGCUAGGCUGAAGUUGAUGGUGGUCUGGCUCAUCUUGUUUAAAGGUGGAAGAGACAAUGGCGUCAUUGCGAGAAUGAGUUUGUCCUCCUUCUCCUCGUCCCCGUACAAGAGUCCCGCCCGGAAGUUUUUGUAAGAGACGCCCAAUAUGUGGUUGGGGUUAACAAACACCAGGCUCAGGUCCCAUGUGGCAGUUAAGUACCAAUUGUUGUUGUUGGAGGAGCCACCAGCAGAAGCAGCGACAGCAAGACUCGGGGUGAGUGGGCA